GGGGCGGUAAGUUAAUCGGCAAACUAUUCGUCUUGCCAGUCGAAUAAUGCGGGUUCAAAUCCCGUCCGCUCCA
Molecule: transfer RNA, 73 nt
Filed under: Candidatus Tagabacteria bacterium CG10_big_fil_rev_8_21_14_0_10_40_13
Lineage: Bacteria; Candidatus Tagaibacteriota
Description: tRNA-OTHER
Rfam family: tRNA
About the family: Transfer RNA (tRNA) molecules are approximately 80 nucleotides in length. Their secondary structure includes four short double-helical elements and three loops (D, anti-codon, and T loops). Further hydrogen bonds mediate the characteristic L-shaped molecular structure. tRNAs have two regions of fundamental functional importance: the anti-codon, which is responsible for specific mRNA codon recognition, and the 3' end, to which the tRNAs corresponding amino acid is attached (by aminoacyl-tRNA synthetases). tRNAs cope with the degeneracy of the genetic code in two manners: having more than one tRNA (with a specific anti-codon) for a particular amino acid; and 'wobble' base-pairing, i.e. permitting non-standard base-pairing at the 3rd anti-codon position.
Source: RNAcentral